UACAGAGGGGGCAAGCGUUGUUCGGAAUUACUGGGCGUAAAGGGCGCGUAGGCGGCCUGUUAAGUCGAACGUGAAAUCCCCGGGCUCAACCCGGGAACUGCGUCCGAUACUGGCAGGCUUGAAUCCGGGAGAGGGAUGCGGAAUUCCAGGUGUAGCGGUGAAAUGCGUAGAUAUCUGGAGGAACACCGGUGGCGAAGGCGGCUCACUGGUCCGGUACUGACGCUGAGGUGCGAAAGCGUGGGGAGCAAACAGG
This 253-nucleotide ribosomal RNA is filed under the name uncultured bacterium. RNAcentral describes it as "partial 16S ribosomal RNA". It matches the Rfam family "Bacterial small subunit ribosomal RNA", at positions 524 to 776 of the family's 1533-position model. The record is from RNAcentral.